AGAGUUUGAUCAUGGCUCAGAUUGAACGCUGGCGGCAUGCUUAAUACAUGCAAGUCGAACGGUAACAGAUUCUUCGGAAUGCUGACGAGUGGCGGACGGGUGAGUAAUACAUAGGAAUCUGCCCAUGUAGUGGGGGACAACUUGGGGAAACUCAAGCUAAUACCGCAUAAUUCCUACGGGAUAAAGAGGGCCACUGCUUGCAAGCUCUUGCUACUGGAUGAGCCUAUGUCGGAUUAGUUAGUUGGUAAGGUAAUGGCUUACCAAGACAGCGAUCCGUAGCUGGUUUAAGAGGAUGAUCAGCCACACUGGGACUGAGACACGGCCCAGACUCCUACGGGAGGCAGCAGUAGGGAGUAUUGGACAAUGGGCGCAAGCCUGAUCCAGCAAUGCCGCGUGUGUGAAGAAGGCCUGCGGGUUGUAAAGCACUUUCAAUUGGGAAGAAAGAUUAUGAGUUAAUACCUUAUAAUAUUGACGU
Molecule: ribosomal RNA, 475 nt
Filed under: uncultured bacterium
Lineage: Bacteria
Description: bacterial SSU rRNA
Rfam family: Bacterial small subunit ribosomal RNA
Source: RNAcentral